Molecule: ribosomal RNA, 253 nt
Filed under: uncultured bacterium
Lineage: Bacteria
Description: partial 16S ribosomal RNA
Rfam family: Bacterial small subunit ribosomal RNA
Source: RNAcentral
UACGUAGGGUGCGAGCGUUAAUCGGAAUUACUGGGCGUAAAGCGUGCGCAGGCGGUUAGCCAAGUCAGGUGUGAAAUCCCCGGGCUUAACCUGGGAAUUGCGCUUGAAACUAGCGGGCUUGAGUGUGGCAGAGGGGGGUGGAAUUCCACGUGUAGCAGUGAAAUGCGUAGAGAUGUGGAGGAACACCGAUGGCGAAGGCAGCCCCCUGGGUCAACACUGACGCUCAGGCACGAAAGCGUGGGGAGCAAACAGG